UGCUGCAGCGGCCGGGGGGGCGGGAAGGGGGUACCGCCGCCUUUGGCUCUUCCCACCUCCCCCGCUGGAGCAGCGGCCGGAAAAAAUAACCCGGCGGGAGGAGAAGCCCUUGGGCCCCCUCCCCGCGGCUCCCGGGAGGAAGCGGCGGCACCGGGAGCCGGGAGCAGGGCCAGGAAAGCGGCGGCGGUGGCAUCCGGGCUGCGGCGGCGGCGAGUCCGCCCUCCGAGGCGGGAGGGGCCGGGGGGGGCCGGGGGGGACCGCAGCGCCCCGAGCCCCUGGGGACACCCAGGGACACCCGUGGGGGACCCGCAGCCCCUGCCCCGGUGGUGCAGGGGGGUCCCACCCGCCUUCCUGCGCGGAGGAAGCGGCAUCGCCGCCCCCAGCCCAGCCUUGAGCCCCCGACCUCUCCCACGGGCGUGUAUUCCCCUCCCUGAUCCAAAGGAGCGGCCACACCCACUGCCGGCACCUGUUGGGAACGGGAGUGAUGCUGAGCAUUGGAUGGAUCCUGUCUUAGAUAUUGUCUGGAGCAGCCAUGGUGGGAAGAGGGGACUCCAAAUUCACUUCAAACAGCAGAACUGCUGGCACAGCUGGACAAAAAAAACCAAAAGGAACAACCUGACACGACUCAGAGCCUGGAGUGUGCAAGUUCACGUUUACAACAG
This is a long non-coding RNA of Pipra filicauda (Wire-tailed manakin), 662 nucleotides long. RefSeq lists it as uncharacterized. Lineage: Eukaryota; Metazoa; Chordata; Aves; Passeriformes; Pipridae. The transcript is spliced from 3 exons. The record is from RefSeq and is a predicted model, not a curated record.